This 1021-nucleotide long non-coding RNA is filed under the name Vulpes vulpes (red fox). RNAcentral describes it as "lncRNA (ENSVVUG00000020018.1)". Lineage: Eukaryota; Metazoa; Chordata; Mammalia; Carnivora; Canidae. The record is from RNAcentral.
AGAGUUGUGAUGUAGAAGAGGAUUAGAAAAAAAACAAAGCUUGGCUGGGAAAGGCUCUGAGUCAUUCACAAGAGAAAAGAGCAAGUCUGGAAAUGGACAGGAGAGACUGGGAAGGGAGAAGGUGGAUAGAGGCUGGAGAGCUAAGUGGCUGUUGACAGGGUUUCACUCUGUCUUCCUGUGGACGGUGAAGCCUUCACCUUUUCAGGAGACGGGAGACUUCCUUCUCCAGACCAUCUCACAUGGAAACUGCACCCCUUCUAGACAUUUUCACUUGCAUGAGAGGCUUAAUUUUGGAAGAUGGAAACAAAAGAGUCUCUAUUUGGGGAAGCCGAGAAAGAUAAUUAUCACAGAGAACCCUCAGCUUUAUAAAUAGCGGCUCAUUUAAUCCUUACUAUCUCUAUAGGGUAACUGCCCAUUUUACAGAUGAGGAAACAGAAGUGCAGAGAGGUUAAAUAGAUGGCCUGAAGUCACACAGCCAGCAAGGGGCAGAGAUGGGAUGACAGCCCAGACAGGCUAGCCGGAGAGUGCAUGCUCUUUCCCAUCACUGUUCCUCUCCAAGAUAGCCUGUAUGAGGGGCAGAAAGGAAAGGACACAGCCCCUAAAAUGUGCCUUUUGGGGAAUUCUCAUACGUUUACUCUCCAGGCUUUUAGAGAUUACUGCCCUUGCCUCAUUACCUUAGUCCUUACCUCCCCUAAAUGAGUCCCCUGAGGAUGACCCACCCUGAGUCAUUCUUGUCUGAUGCUGGAGAUAUAGCCUUAGGUUCUCUCUCCUUGGAGUCUACUGGGUGUUGAUAAAACAAAACAAAACAAAACAAAACAAAACAAAACAAAACAACAAAGCAAUCCACCCCAGUCCCAUCCUCUGAUUACCGCCUUGUCAUCACCGUGGCCUUCUGCCAAUCAAUGCUCUUCCUUACAACCAGGCAAGCCUGUUGCCCUCAGUGCUGGGUGCUUCCAGGCUGCUGAGCCGCCCCAAGUCACUGCUCUCCCCCAACCUGCCCUCCCCCACUCCUUGCUAUCCU